CGAAGGGUGCAAGCGUUACUCGGAAUUACUGGGCGUAAAGCGUGCGUAGGUGGUGAGUUAAGUCUGUCGUGAAAGCCCCGGGCUCAACCUGGGAAUGGCGAUGGAUACUGGCUCACUAGAGUGCGGUAGAGGAGAGUGGAAUUCCCGGUGUAGCAGUGAAAUGCGUAGAGAUCGGGAGGAACAUCAGUUGCGAAGGCGGCUCUCUGGACCAGCACUGACACUGAGGCACGAAAGCGUGGGGAGCAAACAGGAUUAGAUACCCUGGUAGUCCACGCCCUAAACGAUGCGAACUGGACGUUGGGAGCAAUCAGGCUCUCAGUGUCGAAGCUAACGCGUUAAGUUCGCCGCCUGGGGAGUACGGUCGCAAGACUG
Molecule: ribosomal RNA, 372 nt
Filed under: uncultured organism
Description: bacterial SSU rRNA
Rfam family: Bacterial small subunit ribosomal RNA
Source: RNAcentral